This is a long non-coding RNA of Nomascus leucogenys (northern white-cheeked gibbon), 1109 nucleotides long. RefSeq lists it as uncharacterized. The transcript is spliced from 4 exons. NCBI's taxonomy places the organism in Eukaryota, Metazoa, Chordata, Mammalia, Primates, Hylobatidae. The record is from RefSeq and is a predicted model, not a curated record.
GUAAACCACUGUCAACUAUUAGUCUUCCCACAGCUUCAAUUGCUUUCAUUAUUCUAAUCCUACUGACCAUUCUCAAAGUCCUCCCAAGUUUUUUUUUUUUAAUGAGGGAAAAUGGAUAAAACUGAGCAAUAUUAUCUCUCCACUGAGAUGUCUAGCUUUUUUUGAGUCAUGCUUAAAGUCUAACAAUAUAGUCUAAAAUUGGUUUAGGAUUCCUUUCAGCCACCAGUGCCAACUUAUCUUAGGCUAACAGGAAUAGAGUUCAGUUGAUCUAAUUUAGAACAAAUUUGUAUCCGUAGAUGGGAUGGAAAAUCUAGGUGAGGAUUAAGGUCAUGGCCAAGGUACAAGAGGAGGAGGAUGUCUGAGUUAAUUAUAACCUAGGUUAUGCAGUCUUAAUUCCGGGAAGCUGUGCCUUAGCUAGGUAGACAACUUGUUGAUUGAGGAAUAUUCUCAGAGGAACUAGAAGCUAUCCGUUUCUGAAUUCCGAGAUGAAUUUCUACGUCAUCUGAGAUGAAGGUGAAGGUGUCAGUAUCCAAAGACUAGAAAUUCUAAGAGAAAUAUGUCACUUGGAGAAAGCCCUUUAAUUUCAAAACAACUGUAUAUAUUUUGCUAAUAGCUAAAGUAAAAACAGAUAAAACCAAGAGAACAUGGCCAUCAUUGUUCAAGGCCUCAUACUCUCUGAUGCAAACAGGGUACAUGUGCAGGAUGUGCAGGUUUGUUACAUAGGUGAACGUGUGCCAUGGUGGUUUGCUGCACCUAUCAACCCAUCACCUAGCCUAAACAGUGACAAAACCAAGCUUUCAGCACUUCACCUUUCUAUGCUUCCAGUGAAAAUGGUGAUAAAGUGAAGGACGUGCUCCAGGGAAUCUGCUGAUGUCUCCAAAAUGUCAUCAGCAAAGCGGCGGAGAAAAAUGAGAAAAUCACCCAGGUUAUCUGCAAAAAAUUCUGAAAAAGAAAAUAUUCACUGGAAUUAGCCAAAUAUCUGUAUAUCUGUACUAAUAAACAUUUAAAUUCCUUUCACCCUACUUAAUGAAGGUUAAAAAAAAACCUAAAUGUUUUGUUGGUACUAGAGAUGGUGAUAAGUCAAUAAAUGUAAAAUCUCCUUUAAAUGU